GUAUUAAUAAGCGGAGGAAAAGAAAACAACUGUGAUUCCCUUAGUAAUGGCGAAUGAACGGGGAAGAGCCCAGCACCGAAUCCCGUAGUGCUUCACUGCCGGGAACUGUGGUGUUUAGGCAAGCCUUUCCGGCAUUUUGAGGCAGUCAAAGUCCCCUUGAGGGGGGCCAUCGCCCAUAGCGGGUGCAAGGCCCAUAAGACGCCCAUUGUGUCGGUUGGAGCUGCCGUGGAGUCGGGUUACUUGAGAGUGUAGCCCAAAGUGGGUGGUAAACCCCAUCUAAGGCUAAAUAUAACCACGAGACCGAUAGCGCACAAGUA
This 317-nucleotide ribosomal RNA is filed under the name uncultured eukaryote. RNAcentral describes it as "partial large subunit ribosomal RNA". It matches the Rfam family "Eukaryotic large subunit ribosomal RNA", at positions 40 to 350 of the family's 3401-position model. The record is from RNAcentral.